CCAAGCGCUCACCAUUCUGCAGAAUAAGGACCAGAACAUUACAGAGCAGUUCAUCGUGGCCCUGUCGUUCUCCUCCUUCACCAAAGCUCUGUCAAGGACCUACAUGAAGAGUGCCAUCACUCAGAGAGACACUUUGACCUGUCCAGCUCUCUCAUCGGACUCAUAGACGGCAGCUUUGUGAUGGGUAACCUGCUGUUCCUGGCUGUCGUCAGCCAUUUUGGGGCGAAGCUGCACCGGCCCAGGCUCAUUGCUAUGGGCUGUUUCCUCAUGGCUGUAGGAUCCUUCCUCACAGGCCUGCCACACUUCUUCAUGGAACGGUAAAACAAC
Molecule: long non-coding RNA, 327 nt
Organism: Oncorhynchus gorbuscha (pink salmon)
Lineage: Eukaryota; Metazoa; Chordata; Actinopteri; Salmoniformes; Salmonidae
Exons: 3
Source: RefSeq, a predicted model, not a curated record